UACGGAGGAUGCAAGCGUUAUCCGGAAUGAUUGGGCGUAAAGGGUCCUGAGGUGGCUGGCUUAGUCUACUGUGAAAGAUCAGGGCUUAACCCUGAACAGGCGGUGGAAACUAGCAAGCUAGAGUACGGUAGGGGCGGAGGGAAUUCUCGGUGGAGCGGUGAAAUUCGUAGAUAUCGGGAGGAACACCGGUGGCGAAGGCGGCGACCUGGGUCGAGACUGACGCUGAGGCGCGAAAGCGUGGGGAGCAAACAGG
Molecule: ribosomal RNA, 253 nt
Filed under: uncultured bacterium
Lineage: Bacteria
Description: partial 16S ribosomal RNA
Rfam family: Bacterial small subunit ribosomal RNA
Source: RNAcentral